Podarcis lilfordi (Lilford's wall lizard) is the source of this 143-nucleotide non-coding RNA. The record is from the annotation of a GenBank genome assembly. NCBI's taxonomy places the organism in Eukaryota, Metazoa, Chordata, Lepidosauria, Squamata, Lacertidae.
GAGUGGGGAGGAGAGAGGGACAGAGAGCCUGCUUCUUUAAAGGAACCAACUGGACAGGAGCCGCUUACACUCGUGUAAGCGGCUCCUGUCCGGUUGGUUCCUUUACAGCAAGCAGGCUCUCUGUCCCUCUCUCCUCCCCACUC